This 765-nucleotide small RNA is filed under the name Pan troglodytes (chimpanzee). RNAcentral describes it as "retained intron". The record is from RNAcentral. Lineage: Eukaryota; Metazoa; Chordata; Mammalia; Primates; Hominidae.
UCAUCCUGGCUAUUGACGGCUUUGGGACAGAGUCCAUGACUCAUGCUGAUGCGCAGGACAGGAUUAAAGCAGCAGCUCACCAGCUGUGUCUCAAAAUUGACAGGGGAGAAACUCACUUAUGGUCUCCACAAGUAUCUGAAGAUGGGAAAGCCCAUCCUUUCAAAAUCAACUUAGAAUCAGAACCACAGGAAUUCAAACCCAUUGGUACCGCGCACAACAGAAGGGCCCAGCCUUUUGUUGCAGCUGCAAACAUUGAUGACAAAAGACAGGUAGUGAGCGCUUCCUAUAACUCGCCAAUCGGGCUCUAUUCAACUAGCAAUAUACAAGAUGCGCUUCACGGACAGCUGCGGGGUCUCAUUCCUAGCUCGCCUCAAAAGUAAGUAUCCGACUCUGUUCUGGCCGCAGUGUACCUAACAGUGAUAGCAUGGUUUCUUUUCUUUUCAAAAGUCCAGCUCUUGCUGUUUUAUUUUCACUUUCCUGAAGGCACUAUCAGAUUUCUCUUUUAAAGACAAGCGUCUUAAACAUGUUUCUCAUUGUUGUGGGGUCCAAUCCGCCAGUGCCUGACCGUUUCGCGGACAGAUGGUUGGAAAGAAGACAUCGUCCUGGUCCCGUCAUCGCCUUUCUUAGUCAUGACAGUAGUUGGUGGUAAAUGAUCCUCCCUGUACAACUAUCGUCCGUUUAAUCUCAUCUGCAACAGUGUCCGCCUUCCACUGAGGGCCUUUUUAACGCUUUCUUUUCGCAGGACGGGAACUACUUUGAACACAA